RNAcentral lists this long non-coding RNA (7335 nucleotides) under Lactuca sativa (garden lettuce). RNAcentral's name for it is "long non-coding RNA (LSAT_LNC007598)". Lineage: Eukaryota; Viridiplantae; Streptophyta; Magnoliopsida; Asterales; Asteraceae. The record is from RNAcentral.
GAAGAUGACCAAGUCACCCUUUACUGGCACUUGUGAAAGGGGUGAGGGUUUAUUGGAUCUCAUACACACCGAUGUAUGCGGGCCCUUUAGAUCCACCACAAGGGAUGCUUGCCGCUUCUACGUGACUUUUACAGAUGAUUAUAGCAGAUAUGGAUAUAUCUACUUAAUCAAGCAAAAGUCAGAAACCUUUGAAAAGUUCAAAGAGUUUAAGAAUGAAGUGGAGAAUCAGCUGGGUAGGAAAAUCAAGAUGCUUCGGUCAAACCGAGGAGGAGAGUACCUAAGUCUUGAGUUUCACGACUAUCUAAAGGAAUGCGGAAUUGUUUCGCAAUUGACGCCUCCGAGGACGCCACAAUUGAAUGGUGUGGCUGAGAGACGUAAUCGGACCUUGUUGGACAUGGUUCGUUCUAUGAUGAGUCGGACUUCGUUACCAAUAGCUUUCUGGGGGUAUGCCUUAGAGACUGCCGCCCAUAUACUUAACUUAGUUCCCACCAAGAAGGUUUCCAAGACUCCUCACGAGAUGUGGACAGGGAAGGCUCCCUCGUUGGCACAUAUCAAGGUUUGGGGUUGCGAGGCUUUCGUAAGACGAGAGACUCACGACAAACUAGAACCUCGUAGUGAGAAGUGUUAUUUCAUCGGCUAUCCGCAGAAGUCUUUUGGCUACCUUUUCUAUAGACCGAGUGACAAUGUUGUCUUCGUUGCUAGAAGAGGAGUUUUCCGAGAAAGGGAAUUGAUAAGCCAAGAAGACAGUGGGAGGCAAAUUGAACUUGAAGAGAUUCAAGAUCAAAGCGAUGAAGGAACCUCUGACACUGGCACUCAACUUGAGGAGGAAACUCCUGUUGAACCUGUUGACGAGUCCUUACCUCUUCGACGUUCCACUAGGGCUAGUGUUCCACCCCAGUUUUAUGGUUUUCAUAUUACUACUGAAGGGGAUACAUUUAUUAGUGAUAGUACACUAGUAAAUUUGGAUGAACCUAGCAGCUAUAAGGAAGCCAUGGCAGGCCCGGAGUCUGCAAAAUGGAAAGAGGCUAUGGACAGCGAGAUUCAGUCCAUGUACGACAACCAAGUUUGGAAUUUGGUUGAUAAUGUACCGGGUCGUAAGACAGUCGGGUGCAAGUGGAUCUUCAAGAAGAAGACGGACAUGGAUGGGAAAGUGCAUACUUAUAAAGCGCGAUUGGUUGCGAAGGGCUUUACUCAAACUCCCGGAGUUGACUAUGAUGAGACCUUCUCACCAGUUGCGAAGAUAAAGUCUAUUAGGGUGAUGCUUGCCAUAGCUGCGUUUCAUGAUUAUGAAAUAUGGCAGAUGGACGUGAAAACCGCUUUCCUUAAUGGAAAGUUGGCUGAGGAUGUCUACAUGAAUCAGCCAGAGGGUUUUGUCGAUGUGAAGCAUCCAAAUAGAGUAUGCAAGCUUGAGAAAUCCAUUUAUGGAUUGAAACAAGCAUCUCGCAGAUGGAAUCUUUGUUUUGACGAGAAGGUUAAAGAGUUUGGCUUUCUGCGAAGCGAAGAUGAAUCUUGUGUGUAUGUCAAAGCCAGUGGGAGUAUAGUAAGCUUCCUCGUAUUGUAUGUCGACGACAUACUACUCAUAGGAAACGAUGUCCCAACCUUGCAGGAAGUCAAGUCCUGGCUUGGGAAAUGCUUCGCUAUGAAGGACCUCGGAGAAGCCGCUUAUAUUCUGGGAAUAAGAAUAGUAAGAAACAGGGAAAAGAGACUGAUAGGACUCAGUCAGGAUACAUACUUGGAAAAGGUACUAAAGCGUUUUAGUAUGGAAAAUUCCAAGAAAGGGGAGUUGCCAAUCCAAAGCAAUACCAAGCUGAGUAAGACUCAGAGCCCGAGUACAGAGACAGAGAUAGCUGAUAUGAGCCGAGUACCUUACGCUUCCGCAGUAGGCUCUAUCAUGUACGCUAUGACUUGUACUCGCCCUGAUGUGGCCUUCGCUUUAAGCAUGGUCAGCAGAUAUCAAGGGAAUCCUGGUAGGGCACAUUGGAUUGCGGUUAAGAAUAUUCUUAAGUACCUUCGGAGGACCAAGGGAUGGUUUCUAGUCCUCGGUGGGAGUGAUGACUUAAGGGUACGAGGGUACAGUGAUGCUAGUUUUCAGACGGAUCGGGAUAACUUCCGAUCGCAGUCGGGCUGGGUCUUUACCCUAAAUGGAGGAGCAGUGACUUGGAAAAGUUCCAAGCAAGAGACCGUAGCUGAUUCAACGUGCGAAUCAGAGUAUAUUGCGGCGAGCGAAGCGUCAAAGGAGGCUAUAUGGUUGAAGAACUUCAUUGGAGACCUUGGAGUUGUGCCAUCCAUAAAAGAGCCCGUGGAAAUUUUCUGUGAUAAUGAAGGAGCGGUUGCCUUAACCAAGGAACCAAGGGAUCAUGGCAGAUCUCGACAUAUCGACAGGAAAUACCACUUUAUUAGACAUCGGGUAGAAGAGGGACUCCUCGUUGUGAAGAGGGUAUCGUCAGAAGAUAACCCAGCAGAUCCCCUUACAAAGGGACUGAGUAGGGUCAAGCAUUUGCAGCACGCUAGGAGCGUAGGGCUGAAGGACGAUAUUAGUUUAGAUUAGAUAGGUAGAAAACUUGUAAUAGAUAAUGUCAUAUUCAACAAAUGAUGAUUAAAUAAAGGUGUGUUAUUUAUAAGAAAGUUUCUAUCUUGUGUUGAUUAUUUAUCUAUUGUGUCGAUUUUGCAUGUUUUGACUUCCUGAAUAAUAAGAUUAUUCGAACAGUUCACAAUCGCUCAUAUGUUGGAAGUAGAUAUGAAGGAAGAUUGUCAUAAAUUUGUUUGUAGAUUGUCUGAAAAGUUUUAGACAUAGCAAAGGUUUGCUGCAAAGUUUAUGAGUGCUUAUGAAAUUUGUAUUGAGCAUUGAAAUAGACCCACACUUGCUGGUAUUACUUCAUGAAUGUUAUCACAAGUGAUCGCAAGAUGAUAAUAUCAUAUAAUCUUUAAACCUAGAGAUAUGGUUAUUGUUUGCUAGUUGAUUAUACAUUGAUAAUGCGAAAACGCAUCAGUAACUUGAUGUUAUAAAACGUAUUAUUGUGUGUGGUUUAACUAGUAAAUGAUAAAGGCAUAUUAGUCAACGUUUUUUGUUCCUUUUAUUCUAUGAGGAUAAAAGCGAUAUCUCGGCCACUUGAUGAUUUGGUUUGACUUAUGUGCCGGGCCCGGUCAGGAUAAAGUUGAUGUGUUCAACUGAGUUCUAUGUCGAACAAAUCAGAAAUCAAGAAAUAGAAUGCUAGACAAUAAGUAUUGUUAGCAUGAUAUCUAGAACAGAGGAUUAUACGAUCCCUUAUCUAAAGGACAGAUUAUUGGUCAGAGUUGACAGCGGCUAUUGAAAGCUACGAUUGCUAUCGGGUACGGAAGUUAUACGUGAGAUAUAGUUACUAGACUUAUCCAAGUGGGAGACUGUUGGAUUAGUGUCUAAGUCAGUAACCAUAUUUGGUAUAUACUUGACCCGAGUGUGCAUGGUCCUUUUGGGUUGCCUUCACCAAAGCAACUUGACAAGGUAAUUUGAUAUGAGAGAGGAGAUAUUAUGAUUUAUUAAUAUAUUAUAAGAAUAAUAUAUUAAAGGAGAAAUCAUAUUUAUUUAAUUAGUAUUAGUCAUAAAUUAAUUAGGAAUUAAUUUGGUGACUAAAAGAGAUUAAUUAAAUAAAAGGGUAUAAACUGUCAAAUGUGUGAUAGUUGAGUUUUGGGCUAGGAAACCUAAUGGACUAAGGGGGAACGAAAUUAUGAUGAAGGAUCAUCAUAUUUUCGUCCAAAGGCCUCAUUCCAUAAGGCUCCUUGGGCUGCUUGGUGGCUAAGCUGUCCAUUAGGGUUUUGACUGAAACCCUAGCACCCUAUAGUAUAAAUACAUGCCCUAUGCUUCAAUUUGAGGCCACUUGAUUCCAAGGAAACCCUAGGGCCGAAAUUAGCAUCAUUCCCUUCUCUCUCUUUGUUGCCUUCUUGCUUCAAGGUGUUUGUGAGCCAUUAGAGGCACUACAAUUGUGGUGCUUGCUUUCAAGAGUUCAAGAGAGUUCAAGAGAUCAAGGAAACUAGUUGUUAUUGCUAUAUAACAACAAAGGUAUGUUUACUACACUUCUAUGUAAUUUUCGAAAAUUAUAGAAGCAUGCCAGGGUUUUAUUUUGUGUUCAUAAAGUUGUAUGUCUUAUAGUGAAAACAUAGAUCCAACUAGGGUUGCAUGCACACAUAGGAUUGUUUGUAUAAAACCUAACAGUGGUAUCAGAGCCAUUGGUUUUUUGUUUUCAAUUGGAUUUGAUGCAUAUUAUGAAUUUGACAAAUUAGGGUUUAUGGCAAGUAAACCCUAAGGCUUGGUGAUUUUCGCAAAUUAGGGUUGCAAAACCCUAGUUGGCGAUUUUUUUUAGAGGGUUCUUAAACUCUUUUUGCCUAGCCUCCAAAUUUCGAAAUUAGGGUUAAGAAACCCUAGGGAUUUCGAAAUUCCCUUGCCCCCCAAGAUAAGAUCCCAAGAUUUUAGGGAUUUGGAUAUUGCUAUCUUUAUGAUUAUCCAUUUAAUUGUUUAAACUAGAUAAUUGAAGAUCUUGUAUUAUCCUUUCCAUAUAUUUAAAAAUCUAGGGGAUAAAAGGAUUAAUUAAAUUAAUAAUUUAAUUUUAUGAUAAACCUUAAAGAUUUAAUAGUUCAAAUUAAUUGUUUAAUUUUGAUAAUUAUUAAAUCAAAGUUUUCUUGGUGUUUAAAAUUUUUAAAUUAAAUAGCCUUAAUAUUCGAAAAUUUUAAAUACACAUUAAGAUACUAGUAUUUUGAAAUGCUUUAAAAUACACCCUUAUACAAUUAUGAUAUUAUAAGAUUAAUUAUUAUAUAUGUAUAAGAAUAAGCUAGUCUUAUCGCUAGUAGGCCUCAUUCACGAAGCCGGUCUAUAAGGUGGGUAUAAGGUUGCUGCCUAUAAAAUGGCGCUUAAUGGAUGUACACUCACAUCUACCGCUUGCUUGACUGGUGGAGGGUCGUUAGCCGAACGGAUAGGAUAGGGCACUUAAUUCCUCAUUAAAAGUAUAAUGGAAAUAUUAAAGUAACUACAUUGUUUUACAAAUUCCCACUCUUAGUUACUUUAGGGUAAAAUGUGAAAAUGAUGCUAAUCCAUGGAAUUACACUUCGUACCCUUGUCAAACGUUGAUGGAGCGCGUGUGGUUAACCGGCACAUCAAUUUGGGGAUGACAUAGGUAGCGAAGGGUGACUCGAUGUUUGUCAUAGAUCAAUGGAGCGUGUGUGGUUUACCGGCACAUUGAUUAGGUGAUAGUGACGUUGAGUGCACCACGUUAAUUCGCAUGGUUAUUCACAAAUUUGUUUGCGAUCCUCGGCAUCCCAGUCGCAAAUGUGAAAUGCAUAUCGAGAUUUAAACAUGCCAUUGAAAAGUUCAAUGAAUCUCAAAGAUCUAGGAGUUUUCAAUACAUUUAAAACCUAAAUUGCUUUUUCGUUUUUCAUGGUGAGAAUUAGUGAAUCGUCAUUCACUUACCUUCAAGUUAUUUACUUUUAGAGUACGGCAUCCCUUUCUAAGUUGUAAAUAAUGUUGUUGGAUCCUAGCCCUAAUUUCUCAUUUGGGUGUUUAAUUAGGGAUUCAUUUCUAAUCAAGCUUUGUCCCUUUCUUUUUCAGAUGUCUGCUAACAACAACAACAACAACGCUUCUGGGUCAUUCUCGUUGAUGAACUUGUGUCAGAAAGUGACAUUUGAUGGUUCAAACUUCAACGAGUGGAUGAGAUACAUUCGCAUGAUCACACGCUACGAGGACAAAGAAUAUGUCCUCGAUGAAAAGCUUGAGAAGAUCAUCCCAGAUGUUGCUACUCCUGAGGAACUGGCCGCCUUUGAGGCCCACGAGCGUGAUGCCACGAAAGUUCACUGCAUCAUGCUGGCCACCAUGAACCUCGAACUCCAAAAGUCCUAUGAGGACAUGUAUCCAUAUGAAAUGCAUCAGGAUUUGCUGGACAGGUAUCACCAGAGCGCGAGGCAAGAGCGCUAUGAGAUCAUUACUAACAUGAUCACCGCUAAGAUGGGGAGUGGAGAAUCCCUAACCUCUCAUUUGCAGAAAAUGCAGAGGUAUGUUGAUCGUCUUCUCAAACUUAAUGUUAAGUUUGAUGAGGAUUUGGCUAUCGACAUAAUCCUCCACUCCUUGCCCUCCUGCUACAAUCAGUUUAGGAUGACCUACCAUAUGAACAAAGAGGAGGUCUCCUUGAGCAAGCUCCAAGGACUCUUGAGGACUGCUGAGAGCAACCUCAAAGACAAAUCCGUUGCACCGUCACCUGCUGUGGCCGCUCCUGUGAUGGCGAUAGGUCAAGGAAAGGGUAAAAAGAGGAAGGCUCCAUGUAAGAGCCACCAUAAGGGGAAACCCCGUGAUGGUUCAUCCUCAAGUGGGACCAAAGCAGGCCCCAUUAAACCCUCUUCCGACCCUAAAGAAGCAGAGUGCUUCUACUGCCACCAAAAGGGCCACUGGAAGCGAAGCUGCCCACAAUAUCUGCAGGACAUAAGAGAUGGGAAGAUCAAGCCCACAUUUGCAGGUAUGUAUUCUAUUAAAUCUAAUAACUCAUCAUUUGCUACUUCAUGGGUUCUUGAUACAGGAUGUGGUUACCACAUUUGUUCUGAUUUGCAGGGCCUAAAAAGAAGUAGGGAGAUGGAGCAUGGGAAGAUGAACCUGAUUAUGGGAAACAGAAGAUCUUCGCCUGUGACCAAAGUCGGUGUUUAUUCUUUAGUGUUAAGUAAUGGGUUAGGAAUAGAUUUAGAGAAUUGCUGUUAUUCGCCAGAUAUGGCAAGAAACAUUAUUUCUUUUCAUGGGUUGUUUAGACAAGGUUUCAGAUAUUCUUUUGAUAAUAGUAAUGGUUCUAUUAAUGUUUAUUUGAAUGGUGUCUUUUAUUUCAAUGCAUUACCUUGUAAUGGGAUUUAUGAAUCAGUGAUGAUUGUUGAUAAUUUUGGAAAUAAUGUUUUGAAUAUUGAUUCGUCUACUAGUCUAGACAAAGCAUGCUUGUGGCAUUGUCGCCUUGGCCAUGUCAACAAGAAACGCAUAGCCCAACUCCAAAAGGAUGGAGUGUUGGAGUCAUUCGACCUUAGGGACGAUGACACGUGUGAGUCUUGUUUACUUGGGAAGAUGACCAAGUCACCCUUUACUGGCACUUGUGAAAGGGGUGAGGGUUUAUUGGAUCUCAUACACACCGAUGUGUGUGGGCCCUUUAGAUCCACCACAAGGGAUGCUUGCCGCUUCUACGUGACUUUUACAGAUGAUUAUAGCAGAUAUGGAUAUAUCUACUUGAUCAAGCAAAAGUCGGAAACCUUUGAAAAGUUCAAAGAGUUUAAGAAUGAAGUGGAGAAUCAGCUGGGCAGGAAAAUCAAGAUGCUUCGGUCAGACCGAGGAGGAGAGUACCUAAG